Long non-coding RNA from Pseudopipra pipra, 869 nucleotides. RefSeq lists it as uncharacterized. Lineage: Eukaryota; Metazoa; Chordata; Aves; Passeriformes; Pipridae. The record is from RefSeq and is a predicted model, not a curated record. The transcript has 2 exons.
UUCCCUUUCCCUUUCCCUUUCCCUUUCCCUUUCCCACAGUGUCCCCUCAGUUGUUCCCCUGCCCCAGCUCCCACCCCGCUCUCCUCCAUCCCUUCUCAGAGCUCUGCCGUGUGAAGUCCCCCCUCCCUCCCCGUGGUCCCUGCCUGCUCUCCCGGUGAGCCGUGCCCUUCCCUCACUCCAGGUGUGCCCUGUCCCACCCUGGCUGUCGCUCCAGAGCUGCUGGAGCUCCGUGACCACACGUGGAGCUGCAGCUCCUCGAGGCAGGUGGCCCUUUGCCCUGCUCUGUGGCUCCUCCAGCCUCUCCUGCUCCUGCUGCUCUGCAUCCUUCUGAUCUGGGAGCGCCUGCAGGGAGAGCUGUGGUGGCUGCAGCCCCUGUACCCGUGCUCCGGAGGGACAGCUGGGUUGUUACAUGAUGUAGUUAUUAGCCAUUGUUAGUCCAAACAUCACAUGAAACAAUAAUUAAGAUUUGUGACAUAAUUGCCUUACAAAAGCCCAUUGAGAAGGAGAAGCAAUAAUAAAGCUGAAAGAAAGAACUGGUUGUUGCUGGGACAACUGAAACUGUAGCAGCAGGAAGGAUGUUUCCCAGCAGGCCAUGCAGGGAGAAUUGCACAGUGGGGCAUUGCAGCCAAAAGAAAUAUGCUCCUGAAGCUGCUGGAAUUUCAGAGUAGUGGUGCAAGAAGACAUGUGAUGAUCUUCAAACAUUUCAACUGUUUGUUGUUUUUAAAUUUAUAUAUUUUAAUAUAUAGGGUUUUUAGGUUUUAAAAUUCAUAUAUUAUUUUAUGCAAAGUGCAAUCCAUUUAAUGAAUGGACCUGGGGGCUGUGACUGUUCUUAGUCCUACUUUGCUGUAGUAAACUGGUGUCAUUCUGCU